RNAcentral lists this ribosomal RNA (467 nucleotides) under uncultured bacterium. RNAcentral describes it as "partial 16S ribosomal RNA". It matches the Rfam family "Bacterial small subunit ribosomal RNA", at positions 28 to 506 of the family's 1533-position model. The record is from RNAcentral.
GACGAACGCUGGCGGCGUGCUUAACACAUGCAAGUCGAACGGAAAGGCCCUGCUUUUGUGGGGUGCUCGAGUGGCGAACGGGUGAGUAACACGUGAGUAACCUGCCCUUGACUUUGGGAUAACUUCAGGAAACUGGGGCUAAUACCGGAUAGGAGCUCCUGCUGCAUGGUGGGGGUUGGAAAGUUUCGGCGGUUGGGGAUGGACUCGCGGCUUAUCAGCUUGUUGGUGGGGUAGUGGCUUACCAAGGCUUUGACGGGUAGCCGGCCUGAGAGGGUGACCGGCCAAAUUGGAACGGGGAUACGGCCCGAACCCCUACGGGGGGCAGGGGGGGGGAUAAUUGCACAAUGGGGGGAAGCCUGAUGCACCAAGCCCGGGGGGGGGAUGGCGGCCUUCGGGUUGAAACCCGUUUUCGCCUGGAGAGAAGGGGGAGUGAGGGAAAUGGGUAAGAAAGCACCGGAAAACUCCGU